GACAAACGCUGGCGGCGUACCUAAGACAUGCAAGUCGAACGGGUGCGGCGCCCUUCGGGCGCCGGACGAGUGGCGGACGGGUGAGUAACGCGUAGGAACCUAUCGCACAGUGGGGGAGUACCACGGGAAACCGGGUAGUUAAUACCGCAUGAGGUCAGCGAUGACCAAAAGACAGCAAUGCGCUGUGUGCGGGGCCGUGCGUCCGAUUAGCUAGUUGGUGGGGUAAGGGCCUACCAAGGCGACGANCGGUAGCUGGUCUGAGAGGAUGGUCAGCCACACUGGGACGUGAGACACGGCCCAGACUCCUACGGGAGGGCAGCA
Molecule: ribosomal RNA, 321 nt
Filed under: uncultured bacterium
Lineage: Bacteria
Description: bacterial SSU rRNA
Rfam family: Bacterial small subunit ribosomal RNA
Source: RNAcentral